UAAAAGGGAAAGGACGGACCCUCGCGAAGGCAAGNAACCCCAAAAAAGAACCAUCCCAGUUCGGAUUGCAGUCUGAAACUCGAGUGCAUGAAGCUGGAAUCGCUAGUAAUCGCAAAUCAGAAUGUUGCGGUGAAUACGUUCCCGGGUCUUGUACACACCGCCCGUCACACCAUGGGAGUUGGAAAUGCCCGAAGUCAGUGACCCAACCAAAAGGAGGGAGCUGCCGAAGGCAGGUUCGAUGACUGGGGUGAAGUCGUAACAAGGUAAC
RNAcentral lists this ribosomal RNA (268 nucleotides) under uncultured bacterium. RNAcentral describes it as "partial 16S ribosomal RNA". It matches the Rfam family "Bacterial small subunit ribosomal RNA", at positions 1238 to 1500 of the family's 1533-position model. The record is from RNAcentral.